Molecule: ribosomal RNA, 468 nt
Filed under: uncultured bacterium
Lineage: Bacteria
Description: partial 16S ribosomal RNA
Rfam family: Bacterial small subunit ribosomal RNA
Source: RNAcentral
GACGAACGCUGGCGGUGUGCUUAACACAUGCAAGUCGAACGGUAAGGCCCUUUCGGGGGUACACGAGUGGCGAACGGGUGAGUAACACGUGAGUAACCUGCCCUCAUCUCUGGGAUAACAGUCGGAAACGGUUGCUAAUACUGGAUAUGAGCUUGCAAGGCACCUUGUGGGUUGGAAAGAUUUUUUUUGGUUGGGGAUGGACUCGCGGCCUAUCAGCUUGUUGGUGAGGUAGUGGCUCACCAAGGCUUCGACGGGUAGCCGGCCUGAGAGGGCGACCGGCCACAUUGGGACUGAGAUACGGCCCAAACUCCUACGGGAGGCAGCAGUGGGGAAUAUUGCACAAUGGACGGAAGUCUGAUGCAGCAACGCCGCGUGCGGGAUGACGGCCUUCGGGUUGUAAACCGCUUUCAAUUGUGACGAAGCUUUUUUGUGACGGUAGCAGUAGAAGAAGCACCGGCUAACUACGUG